ACCUUGAGACCGGCGCACGGGUGAGUAACGCGUAUGCAACCUGCCCUUUACAGGGGGAUAGCCCGGAGAAAUCCGGAUUAAUACCCCAUAGUCCUGUAACCUCGCAUGGGGAAUCAGGUAAAGCUUCGGUGGUAAAGGAUGGGCAUGCGUGACAUUAGCUUGUUGGCGGGGUAACGGCCCACCAAGGCUGCGAUGUCUAGGGGUUCUGAGAGGAAGGUCCCCCACACUGGUACUGAGACACGGGCCAAACUCCUACGGGAGGCAGCAGUGAGGAAUAUUGCGCAAUGGGCGAAAGCCUGAUGCAGCAACGCCGCGUGAGGGACGAAGGCCUUCGGGUCGUAAACCUCUUUUCUGAGGGAAGAGACAGGACGGUACCUCAGGAAUAAGUCUCGGCUAACUACGUGCCAGCAGCCGCGGUAAAACGUAGGAGGCGAGCGUUAUCCGGAUUUACUGGGCGUAAAGCGCACGCAGGCGGCUUCGUUAGUCGGAUGUGAAAGCUCCUGGCUUAACUGGGAGAGGCCAUUCGAUACUGCGGGGCUUGAGGUUGGGAGAGGGGUGUGGAAUUCCCGGUGUAGUGGUGGAAUGCGUAGAUAUCGGGAGGAACACCAGUGGCGAAGGCGGCACCCUGGCCCACACCUGACGCUGAGGUGCGAAAGCGUGGGUAGCAAACAGGAUUAGAUACCCUGGUAGUCCACGCCGUAAACUAUGUCAACUAGGUGUUGGUAGUGUUACACCAUCAGUGCCGCAGCAA
This 751-nucleotide ribosomal RNA is filed under the name uncultured Chloroflexota bacterium. Its description in RNAcentral is "bacterial SSU rRNA". It matches the Rfam family "Bacterial small subunit ribosomal RNA", at positions 86 to 854 of the family's 1533-position model. Lineage: Bacteria; Bacillati; Chloroflexota. The record is from RNAcentral.